Molecule: long non-coding RNA, 1010 nt
Filed under: Cricetulus griseus (Chinese hamster)
Lineage: Eukaryota; Metazoa; Chordata; Mammalia; Rodentia; Cricetidae
Description: lncRNA (ENSCGRG00015030452.1)
Source: RNAcentral
AGAAAAGUAAGACAGAGGCAGGGAGCAUGUAACCUUACCCAAUGCUCUUAAGUCCCAAUUGGUUUGUCACUCAGCUUUCUCUUUUCUCCAAAAGACCUCCCACACCUCACAAUGAUUGUAGAUUCUCUAGCAUAUGGUCUUGUACAAUUCUAUACUUUUAUUUGCCUCAUACCUCACCUGCGAUUGUCCUUUCAGUACACUGUGCGCUCAAUAGGGAAAUCAGGAGCCACCUAUGAUAACUGAAACCACAACGUGUGACUCCAGCUAGUAGUCUACCUGGCAGGAUGUAGAACUUUGGGAAUUUCCAGACUAGACAAAUUGAGAUGGGAACCUCAUCAUAAAUAUGGACAGUACCAUUCCAGGGUGGGGUUUCUGAACUGCAGACAGAGGGGGUUUUACCUUGAGCUGAGCAUUGGCAGCCAUAAAGGUCUGCUUCCUGACUCAAUCUUUUACUGAUACAAUUUUCCCAUCAGACUGUAUUGAACCAUCAGUGUGCCUAAAUAAACCCUCACUUGUUGGAUGACCAAACAGGACGAUGGUACCAAUGGUAAGCCAGCAUUUACUCAGCCCUGCUCUGCUCAGAACCAGGAGAAGACGAAUUCCCUGCUGGUGGAUCAGUAAUUUUGCUGGUAAUUUCAUGAAGGACCCCUACGACAUGGAUAGCGUCUAUAAUGGUUACGGUCUGCUGCAUAUUUACUGCCUUGAACUGGAACUCCACCAGCGCCUGUAACAUCUGCUGCCUCUGCAACCUUUUCUCCUUCAACAUCAUCAAACCCUACAGUCUCUCCAUCUCCUUUCUACACUGUGAAGGUACUUCCUGGGGUUAUUCUUCUUUAUGGCAGUCUGGUGUACAAAUAUGUCUUCCUUGGCUUACCAUCUCUACCAUCACCCGGUUUGGUCAUCCAACAAGAUGAAAUGAACAUAAAAUUCCAGCAAUAAGAAAUGAACAAAGAUUGGAGCUGAAGACCUUAAGCGCUUGCUUUUUGCCCAUUGACCAGAUACACUAGAAC